RNAcentral lists this ribosomal RNA (913 nucleotides) under uncultured Campylobacterota bacterium. Its description in RNAcentral is "bacterial SSU rRNA". It matches the Rfam family "Bacterial small subunit ribosomal RNA", at positions 1 to 933 of the family's 1533-position model. The record is from RNAcentral. Lineage: Bacteria; Pseudomonadati; Campylobacterota.
AGAGUUUGAUCCUGGCUCAGAUUAGAGUUUGANUNCCUGCUCAGAACGAACGCUGGCGGCAGGCUUAACACAUGCAAGUCGAACGAGAAACUAUCUUCGGAUAGUGGACAGUGGCAGACGGGUGAGUAACGCGUAGCAACCUACCUAGUAGUACGGAAUAGCCCUUGGAAACGAGGAAUAAUACCGUAUACGCCCUUCGGGGGAAAGAUUUAUCGCUAUUAGAUGGGGCUGCGUUGGAUUAGCUAGUUGGUGAGGUAAUGGCUCACCAAGGCAACGAUCUAUAGCGGGUCUGAGAGGAUGAUCCGCCACACUGGGACUGAGACACGGCCCAGACUCCUACGGGAGGCAGCAGUGGGGAAUCUUGGACAAUGGGGGAAACCCUGAUCCAGCCAUGCCGCGUGAAUGAUGAAGGCCUUAGGGUUGUAAAAUUCUUUCGAUGGUGAAGAUAAUGACGGUAACCAUUAAAGAAGCCCCGGCUAACUCCGUGCCAGCAGCCGCGGUAAUACGGAGGGGGCUAGCGUUGUUCGGAAUUACUGGGCGUAAAGCGUCCGCAGGCGGAUUAUUAAGUUAGAGGUGAAAUCCCAGGGCUCAACCCUGGAACUGCCUUUAAUACUGGUAAUCUAGAGUUAUGGAGAGGUAAGUGGAAUUCCUAGUGUAGAGGUGAAAUUCGUAGAUAUUACUAGGAAUACCAAAAGCGAAGGCGAUCUUCUGGAACAGUACUGACGCUGAGAUGCGAAAGCGUGGGGAGCAAACAGGAUUAGAUACCCUGGUAGUCCACGCAGUAAACGAUGAAUGUUAGUCGUUGGUAUCCUAGAGAUAUCAGUGAUGCAGUUAACACAUUAAACAUUCCGCCUGGGGAGUACGGUCGCAAGAUUAAAACUCAAAGGAAUAGACGGGGGCCCGCACAAGCGGU